UGUAGUCAGUAAAAAGUAUUCUGAUGUAAAAAGCAUGCUUGCUGCCCAGAUGAUCCAGGGUUGAGUGAAGAGCCAAUGAAAUGGCAUCUGCUGUGGACGUGUUGUGCCGACAGGCAAACAGGAUUGGAUCCAAGUUACUUCUCAGGCAGGAUCUGAUGUGUUUCAUCUCCAAAUCUUUGAUUGCAGAUUGCAGAUUUUCUUGGUCUUGAUGAAAGGACAUUAAACUGAAAUGGUUCCCUUCUCCACAAAUGCCAUCCGAUCUGGCAUUCAAAGUAGAAUAGAGAAAUACAACAGAGUCAAUGAAAAACUACACAUAAACCAUGGCAGACAAAUA
Mobula hypostoma (lesser devil ray) is the source of this 334-nucleotide long non-coding RNA. RefSeq lists it as uncharacterized. Lineage: Eukaryota; Metazoa; Chordata; Chondrichthyes; Myliobatiformes; Myliobatidae. The transcript is spliced from 3 exons. The record is from RefSeq and is a predicted model, not a curated record.